UGGCCUCAGGACGAACGCUGGCGGCGCUGCCUAACACAUGCAAGUCGAGCGAUUCUCUUCGGAGAAGAGCGGCGGACGGGUGAGUAACGCGUGGGUAACCUGCCCUGUACACACGGAUAACAUACCGAAAGGUAUGCUAAUACGGGAUAAUGUACUUUUGUCGCAUGGCAAAAGUAUCAAAGCUCCGGCGGUACAGGAUGGACCCGCGUCUGAUUAGCUAGUUGGAGAGGUAAUGGCUCACCAAGGCAACGAUCAGUAGCCGACCUGAGAGGGUGAUCGGCCACAUUGGAACUGAGACACGGUCCAGACUCCUACGGGAGGCAGCAGUGGGGAAUAUUGCACAAUGGGCGAAAGCCUGAUGCAGCAACGCCGCGUGAGCGAUGAAGGCCUUCGGGUCGUAAAGCUCUGUCCUCAAGGAAGAUAAUGACGGUACUUGAGGAGGAAGCCCCGGCUAACUACGUGCCAGCAGCCGCGGUAAUACGUAGGGGGCUAGCGUUAUCCGGAAUUACUGGGCGUAAAGGGUGCGUAGGUGGUUUCUUAAGUCAGAGGUGAAAGGCUACGGCUCAACCGUAGUAAGCCUUUGAAACUGAGAAACUUGAGUGCAGGAGAGGAGAGUAGAAUUCCUAGUGUAGCGGUGAAAUGCGUAGAUAUUAGGAGGAAUACCAGUUGCGAAGGCGGCUCUCUGGACUGUAACUGACACUGAGGCACGAAAGCGUGGGGAGCAAACAGGAUUAGAUACCCUGGUAGUCCACGCCGUAAACGAUGAGUACUAGGUGUCGGGGUUACCCCCCUCGGUGCCGCAGCUAACGCAUUAAGUACUCCCC
This 824-nucleotide ribosomal RNA is filed under the name uncultured bacterium. RNAcentral describes it as "bacterial SSU rRNA". It matches the Rfam family "Bacterial small subunit ribosomal RNA", at positions 19 to 872 of the family's 1533-position model. The record is from RNAcentral.